AUCAAUUAGUUGCAGCAAGGUCGGCGGAUCUUCAACUCAUCAAUAGUGUAUACCGAGCUUAGAGCUGUCUGAAAGAGUAUCUUUUAUGCAAGAUACAUACUGGGCGCGAACCACAUCAUUUUUGAAGGUAUUUCGGCUACGAUGAUUGAGUGGAUCCGGAGUCGGAGACGUAUAGCUGAGCAUUGGCCGCUCAUCUAUAAGAUUCAUAGAUUGCUGAAGAGUGCCACUCCC
This 231-nucleotide long non-coding RNA is filed under the name Phoenix dactylifera (date palm). Its description in RNAcentral is "long non-coding RNA (PDAC_LNC014688)". The record is from RNAcentral. Lineage: Eukaryota; Viridiplantae; Streptophyta; Magnoliopsida; Arecales; Arecaceae.